Long non-coding RNA from Numida meleagris (helmeted guineafowl), 3394 nucleotides. RefSeq lists it as uncharacterized. The record is from RefSeq and is a predicted model, not a curated record. Lineage: Eukaryota; Metazoa; Chordata; Aves; Galliformes; Numididae. The transcript is spliced from 2 exons.
GGUGAAUUUCCACAUCACAGACGUGCUGGAAGCAAAGGGGCUGGAGAAAUGACCGCAGGAGUUGGGACACAGGAAGAUGGAGAAGCAAGUGUCUGAGAAAAAGAUAAAGCCCUAUAAACAAAUGCCGUCUGAUGUAAUCCUCCAAGCAUCUCCUCCACUGAGCAAUGUGGAUGUGACAUCACUGCAGAGCUGGAUGAGAGCUGGCCACUUGAAUCAUUCUCACCUCAAAACAAAAGGCGACCAGACCCGAGGCCUGUGGAAGCAGCUCAUUCCCAGGCUGCCGUGCCCUUGUGACCUUCCUCACUGUUACUUCCAUUUCCAACAAUAGGUUUUUUUCCUCUUGCCUUUAAACGAUGCAAUAGAUUCCCCUCCAUCUGUAUUGCAGAUGUGGCGAGGAAAUGCCACAGACCUGCAGGGCAGAUCUUGCUGCAAUCCUGGGGCAGAACAAAGGGGGUUCUGGGAGCAGCCACACAGCUGAAUGAAUGCAUCCUUACUCUGGUCAAAUAUGAUAAGGGAUGAACUGUCUUUCCCCCUAUCAUUUUGUGAGCAGUCCCAAUGUUGUCUGAGCCUGAAAACCUCUUUCCAGGAUUGGAAGGAGGCUCCUGCCUGGUGAAAGAACUAAUAUUAAGCAUUUACUGCACAGGAAUACCGUUUCCAUUUUUCUCUGAUCCCCUAACACUCAGGAUGAUAGUUCAUGAAUUAUUGACUUAUUUGGGGCUUAUAUUAGGUGGAAAAAGCUUAGAAAGAGUGAUGGUGACUAGAGGUGUGUACCCAAGUAAACACAUGGAAGAGGUGAAUGGGAAUACUUCUGCUGAGAUGGCAUUUUUCUAUUACUCUAGGUAGUAGAUGUAUUUCAUUUUUUUUAACCUCUAAUGUAUUACUUGUACUUCUAGGGCUCCUUGCUCUACAAACACACUUCUGAUUCCAAAGGCAUGGCACAGAGGUAGUCUUAGUUCCCGCAAACCAGGACUGGUUCCAGACAGCACAUGAAGGGGACUCUGUAUCAGGGUAUGUGAAGAUAGGGCAAGGGGGAAUGGUUUAAAACUAUAAAAGGGGAGAUUUAGCUUAAAUGUUAGGAGGAAAUCCUCUACUCAAGAGGGCAGUGAGGCUCUGGCACAGGUUGCCCAGAUAAGUUGUGUCCCAUCCCUGGAGGUGCUCAAGGCCAGGUUGGAUGGAGCUAUGGGCAGCCUGAUCUCGUGGGAGGCAACCAGCGCACAGCAGGGGGUGGGGGUGGAGGAGGCUGUAAGUUCCCUCCAACCCAAAGCUUUCUCUGAUUCUCUGACUCUCUGAUGGGAGGGGUCUUGCAAAUCACGUGAUGAGGCUUUUCCACUUCAUGAUGGGUAGCAUCAGUCUCUUGCUGAUGGAAAUUCAGUAUCAUUAAGGUUUGAGAUCAGAGCAUAGCUAUUCAUGCACAAAGCUGUGGUUUACUGGCUCUGGUUACCUCAUUCUGACACCCUUUAAUUUAAUAAAUCUGAACCAUGCUACCCAAGCAGAUAACAGCAGUGAUUCAAUCAAAGAAUCAUAGAACAACUUGGGUUGGAAGGGAACUCAAGGAUCACCAGCUUCCAUCCCCACUCCAGCAGGCGAGGUUGCCAACUGCUAUAUCAAAUACUAGACCAGGCUGCCCGAGGCCCCAUCCAACCUGGCCUUGAACACCUCCAGGGACGGGGCAUCCACAACCUCUGUGGGCAGCCUGUUCCAGCACUUCAGCACCUCAUUUCCCUCUGACAUCCAAUCUGUAUCUUCCCUCCUUUAGUUUAAAACUGUUCCCCCUUGCCCUAUCACUAUCUACCCAUGUAAAAAGUUGAUUUCCCUCCUGCUUAUAAUCUCCCUUUAAAUAUUGGAAGGCUGUAAUGAGGUCCCCCUGCAGCUUUCUCUCUUCCAGACUGAAGAAACCCAGCUCCUUCAACAGGAUAACUUUCUCAGUGCCAUUUUUCAGCUUGAAUCCUUUUCUUUCUCACUCACUCCCACAAGGAAUUGGGCUAUUGUCCUCAGUUGUGGCUUGUAACUUUUUUCAGUCUGAAUCAAGUAACUCCUUACCAUCUCCCAGGUAGCUGAGUUCUCCUGAAGUAUUUGAUCACACCCUGAAACCAUAAUCUGAAUGUGUUUUCAUUUCUUCCUUUUUCUUUUCUUGUCUGAUUUCUCUUAAAAUAACAAAUCGGAAUUACAUUUUCAAUAAACAGUCCACCCUAGGGAAUCUGACUGCCGGCCAUGUUUGGCUCUGACAUGCAGUAGCAGGAGGCAGCAGCCACCCCGCCUGGUGACAAGGAGCUAAGCAAUGUCUCCACAAACAGGAGGCUCCUGAAAGAGCAGCUGAAGGACGGCCUUUGGCAUGGCAGCACAACUGGGAAAGGCCCAAAGAGGACAAGCCUGGACCAAAUGAGCUCGGAAAUGGCUUUAAUUUUUGUGGAAAAUGGGCACCAGCUCUCCUGCAGGCUUACCUCUGUGGCAUAAACGUAAACAACAAAAAAAAACUUCCUGAUGCAAGCUCGUGCUUUUAUUUUGAUACAUAUCAAAGGAAACCGCUGUUUAUACGUUGAAGGAACUGCCCAAAUACACCCUCCUGGCAGCAGCUCACUAUCUGUAAAAGCAGAGGGCACUGCCCAUACUUCUAGAAACAUUGCUGCUGGUACUGGGCCAGAGCAUUACCUAAGUGCAUUGAAUUGGGAGAGGUGUGUAUAACGAUGGCAUGUGAACCUUCACAAGAUCAAGCACAGGUAGACAGGUUUUCAGAGGGAGGACAGAUGCAUGAGCAUGUUAUAUCCCCAAAGCUCACCAGGAGAGCCUCCACUUGACAGGUGGACCCAGAAACACAUUGGGCUAUUCUGUUAGCCAAAACUUUUGUAUUUUGUUCUAAAUAUUGAACACCCAGCACAUACCACAGCCCACUGGAGUGUUGGCAUCUCUGACAUGGUGGUAGGAGGAAGUUUUGCUCUCAGAGGUGUUGUGAUUGCCUGUGUGGAGACUGCCAGCACCGCAGAGCAGGAAUAACGAGGAAUAACAGACAUAAAUAAGGGCUGGAAGAGAGGGUGCUUUAGUAAGACAGCACCACUCCGUAGCAAAAAAAAAAAAAAAAAAAAAAAAAAAAAAAAAGAAGAUGAAGAAGAAGAAAGGAAGAAAGAAAAGACUCCCUCAUUUGUCAUAAUCCUAACGACAAAGAUGAAAUAUCAUCUCUUUGUUGCUCAAAGAGCAUACCUGGCAGAAACACAACUGCAACCACUGGAUAUUUAUUCUGGAAGCAGCGGGGGAGGUGUGUUGGGAGCCUCCCACUAAAAUUCCCCAGAAAUGAAGGGAAUCCCAAUAACUCUCCAAAAUGACCAAUGAUGAAGUCCAUAAGCAGUGUUUUCCCACCACUGUGAAAAAUCAGAGAUUCAUGUUGAGGUGGUUUAUCUAC